GCUAGUAAUGGCAGGUCAGCAUACUGCCGUGAAUACGUUCCCGGGCCUUGUACACACCGCCCGUCACACCAUGAGAGUUGGGAAUACCCGAAGCCUGUGAGCUAACCGUAAGGGGGCAGCAGUCGAAGGUAGAAUCAAUGAUUGGGGUGAAGUCGUAACAAGGUAGC
RNAcentral lists this ribosomal RNA (167 nucleotides) under uncultured bacterium. RNAcentral's name for it is "partial 16S ribosomal RNA". It matches the Rfam family "Bacterial small subunit ribosomal RNA", at positions 1334 to 1500 of the family's 1533-position model. The record is from RNAcentral.